GUUUUCUAUCCCGUCUGCAAUUGAUAUUGAAAAUACAAUAUGAAUUUAGAAUCAUUGUUGAAAUUAAAACUACAACGUAAUAAUCGUAAGACAGAAGUAGCACAGACAUUUAUUUGCUUUGUGAUUACAUGGAUUACGAAUUUCAAAGAUGAAAUAAUUGAUACUUGAUAACUGCAACUUCUACCCCUUCGUGGUUAAUGUAGAGUGCUUAGUUUUUUUUCGAUAUGAAAGUUUAAGAUUUAAAACAUGAUAGUCGUCAUCUUCUAUUAGAAUAUAGAUAAUAUUUGUAAACAAAUGUGUGGAUGUACUGUGUAUAACAUUAUCAACAUUGAUUUUGAGUACACAGUGACACUAAAGAGAUAAAAAUUAAAGUAUACACUUCUAUAUCUUAUAAACAACCCUAACUGAGGAACCGACAGAAG
This 422-nucleotide long non-coding RNA is filed under the name Mytilus galloprovincialis (Mediterranean mussel). The record is from RNAcentral. Lineage: Eukaryota; Metazoa; Mollusca; Bivalvia; Mytilida; Mytilidae.